CCUGGCUCCGCCCCGGCCUCGGCCCCGCCCCCGCCCCUGCCCCGGGGCAGCCUGUGCUGUUCCGUGUGCGCGGCGCAUACGCACCUGGGUUGUCUCGAGCCUGCGGUAGUGGCCAGAUCCCAGACAUCCGAGUAGAUCCCGUGAAAAGCUUCUUCUUGGUUUCUUCGUACAUUCUGGAUCCACCCCUUUCAUGCAUAUUCCAGACCACAUUUCCACUGGAGCAGUUGAAAUGAGAGAGAUGGGAAUGGGACUCACCCGAACCAGAGGAAUUUUUAUUACAGACCCAUUAACAGAGGUGUCAAAGUCACAGGAACAAGGAUGUGCACCUCAGAAACACAGAGGUCAGUGGAAAAUCAGUUUGCUUCUAUUUGUUUAAAAAAUGGGGGACUUAUGCAUAAAUCUAAGACCUUCUUGAAUCUAACAUUCUAAGACCUGUAUGCCACAGAAAGGAGGGUCUCAGAACGCCGGAGGAUAGUAUUUAAAUCUUAAAUAUCUAUAUUGUUCUCCACAGUUACUGGGUCACCACAUAGCAGGCAUUCAAUAAAAACGUGUUUGUUUACUAAGUA
Molecule: long non-coding RNA, 566 nt
Filed under: Homo sapiens (human)
Lineage: Eukaryota; Metazoa; Chordata; Mammalia; Primates; Hominidae
Description: non-protein coding lnc-PROC-1:8
Source: RNAcentral